UAAUGUGGUAUAUAUUUACUCAAAAAUAUCAUUAUCAUUAUCACACUCAACAUCAGGCCUGCCAGCCGACAUGUCAAAACUUCUCAGCAGACCAAUAGAAUGUUACUACAAUUUUUCGUAAAAUUCUGCUUAGUCGUGUAGAUUCCAAAGUUCAUCGUGAAGACUGACUGACUAACUGGUUACAGUUUUGAAGUACAAAUUCAUCUGUCAUCAUUAAUGUAUGGUAGUUGGUAAAUAAACUCGUUAAAAUGUAAUCAAUAUAAUAUAGCUUACUGUGUAUACAUAUCCAUUUUUCUGUAAAUGAUAAAUUAAUGCAGGUUUAGCAUUGUUAGAAAGCUCUUAGAAAAAAAUAGCUUGAUUUGUAUGAUUUGUGUGUAAAAAUGAACACACUUGUUUUUACAUUUACAGCAUCAUGUUAGUUGAUUCAUUGAUUUGAUCUUCAAAAGUGUGGUCAAAAUGAUGUUGGGUGAAUGCAUGUGAUUUGUUAAGGGGCCAGCUGAAGGACGCCUCCGGGUGCGGGAAUUUUUCGCUACAUUGAAGACCUGUUGGUGACCUUCUGCUGUUUUUUUUUUCUAUGGUCGGGUUGUUGUCUCUUUGGCACAUUCCCCAUUUCCAUUCUCAAUUUUAUGUGAGGCAACCAUGUGGUUAGACACCAAGAUUGGACAAAUGUGUUUUAUAAUGUUUUAUCAUUGUUUAGUGUAUACUUUUU
Molecule: long non-coding RNA, 709 nt
Filed under: Mytilus galloprovincialis (Mediterranean mussel)
Lineage: Eukaryota; Metazoa; Mollusca; Bivalvia; Mytilida; Mytilidae
Source: RNAcentral